AACGAACGCUGGCGGCAGGCUUAACACAUGCAAGUCGAACGAGAUCUUCGGAUCUAGUGGCAGACGGGUGAGGAACACGUGGGAACAUCCCUUUCAGUUCGGAAUAACGUUGGGAAACUAACGCUAAUACCGGAUACGUCCUUCGGGAGAAAGAUUUAUCGCUGAAAGAUUGGCCCGCGUCUGAUUAGCUAGUUGGUGAGGUAACGGCUCACCAAGGCUACGAUCAGUAGCUGAUCUGAGAGGAUGAUCAGCCACAUUGGGACUGAGACACGGCCCAAACUCCUACGGGAGGCAGCAGUGGGGAAUAUUGGACAAUGGGCGCAAGCCUGAUCCAGCCAUGCCGCGUGAGUGAUGAAGGCCUUAGGGUUGUAAAGCUCUUUCACCGGGGAAGAUAAUGACGGUACCCGGAGAAGAAGCCCCGGCUAACUUCGUGCCAGCAGCCGCGGUAA
RNAcentral lists this ribosomal RNA (449 nucleotides) under uncultured bacterium. Its description in RNAcentral is "partial 16S ribosomal RNA". It matches the Rfam family "Bacterial small subunit ribosomal RNA", at positions 29 to 523 of the family's 1533-position model. The record is from RNAcentral.